RNAcentral lists this RNase P RNA (292 nucleotides) under Thermoplasmatales archaeon. Its description in RNAcentral is "RNase P RNA component". It matches the Rfam family "Archaeal RNase P". Rfam says of the family: Ribonuclease P (RNase P) is a ubiquitous endoribonuclease, found in archaea, bacteria and eukarya as well as chloroplasts and mitochondria. Its best characterised activity is the generation of mature 5'-ends of tRNAs by cleaving the 5'-leader elements of precursor-tRNAs. Cellular RNase Ps are ribonucleoproteins. The record is from RNAcentral. Lineage: Archaea; Methanobacteriati; Thermoplasmatota; Thermoplasmata; Thermoplasmatales.
AGGAGAGAGAGGGCGGCCGACGGUAGGACAUUGUCCGGCUGAGGAAGUUCCCUCCUCCACAGGGCAGAUGGGCCGGGAAAUCCGGCCGGGCGAGAGCCCGGGCAAGGGCUCAGAAACGACACAGCCGGGGCGCAGGAUGAUCUGCUGACAGUGACGUUGCCUCCGGAUCUGAUGAAACGGCGACACCCCAUCGGAGCAAGCCCGCACAGCCGGGAUGAUUGCCCAAGGACCGGCGGGUAGGGUGCAUAGUCGAAUGCCGCCUGAAACAGAAGGGGGACUACUACUCUCACCU